AGAUUGAACGCUGGCGGCAUGCCUUACACAUGCAAGUCGAACGGCAGCACGGGGGCAACCCUGGUGGCGAGUGGCGAACGGGUGAGUAAUACAUCGGAACGUGUCCUGUAGUGGGGGAUAGCUCGGCGAAAGCCGGAUUAAUACCGCAUACGCUCUACGGAGGAAAGCGGGGGAUCUUCGGACCUCGCGCUAAAGGGGCGGCCGAUGGCAGAUUAGCUAGUUGGUGGGGUAAAGGCCUACCAAGGCGACGAUCUGUAGCUGGUCUGAGAGGAUGAUCAGCCACACUGGGACUGAGACACGGCCCAGACUCCUACGGGAGGCAGCAGUGGGGAAUAUUGGACAAUGGGCGAAAGCCUGAUCCAGCAAUGCCGCGUGGGUGAAGAAGGUCUUCGGAUUGUAAAGCCCUUUCGGCGGGGACGAUGAUGACGGUACCGCAGAAGAAGCCCGGCUAACUUCGUGCCAGCAGCCGC
This 470-nucleotide ribosomal RNA is filed under the name uncultured bacterium. RNAcentral's name for it is "SSU rRNA". It matches the Rfam family "Bacterial small subunit ribosomal RNA", at positions 26 to 518 of the family's 1533-position model. The record is from RNAcentral.